GGUGUAAACAUGAUGUUCUUUUUCCUCCUAUUCGGGCUCGCACCCAAAAGUCAGGGCGAGCCUGCUUUUUUUGAACAACA
Bacillus subtilis subsp. subtilis str. 168 is the source of this 80-nucleotide small RNA. It matches the Rfam family "Bacillus sRNA ncr982". The record is from Rfam. Lineage: Bacteria; Bacillati; Bacillota; Bacilli; Caryophanales; Bacillaceae.